GUCACACUAUCAUUAACUGAAUCCAUAGGUUAAUGAGGCGAACCGGGGGAACUGAAACAUCUAAGUACCCCGAGGAAAAGAAAUCAACCGAGAUUCCCCCAGUAGCGGCGAGCGAACGGGGAGGAGCCCAGAGCCUGAAUCAGCAUGUGUGUUAGUGGAAGCGUCUGGAAAGGCGCGCGAUACAGGGUGACAGCCCCGUACACAAAAGCGCAUGUGCUGUGAGCUCGAUGAGUAGGGCGGGACACGUGGUAUCCUGUCUGAAUAUGGGGGGACCAUCCUCCAAGGCUAAAUACUCCUGACUGACCGAUAGUGAACCAGUACCGUGAGGGAAAGGCGAAAAGAACCCCGGCGAGGGGAGUGAAAAAGAACCUGAAACCGUGUACGUACAAGCAGUGGGAGCACAGGUUUACCUGUGUGACUGCGUACCUUUUGUAUAAUGGGUCAGCGACUUAUAUUCUGUAGCAAGGUUAACCGAAUAGGGGAGCCGGAGGGAAACCGAGUCUUAAU
Molecule: ribosomal RNA, 507 nt
Filed under: Salmonella enterica subsp. enterica serovar Enteritidis
Lineage: Bacteria; Pseudomonadati; Pseudomonadota; Gammaproteobacteria; Enterobacterales; Enterobacteriaceae
Description: partial 23S ribosomal RNA
Rfam family: Bacterial large subunit ribosomal RNA
Source: RNAcentral